Molecule: non-coding RNA, 29 nt
Filed under: Rattus norvegicus (Norway rat)
Lineage: Eukaryota; Metazoa; Chordata; Mammalia; Rodentia; Muridae
Source: RNAcentral
UCUAGGCUGCAGUUUGCCGAGUCACGUGU